UCUGGCACCUUUGGUGUCCGAGUUGUAAUUUGAAGAAAGUAACUUUGAUGCUGGCUCUCGUCUAUGUUCCUUGGAACAGGACGUCACAGAGGGUGAGAAUCCCGUGCGAUGAGAUGCCCAGUAUCAUGUAAAGUGCUUUCGAAGAGUCGAGUUGUUUGGGAAUGCAGCUCUAGUGGGUGGUAAAUUCCAUCUAAAGCUAAAUAUUGGCGAGAGACCGAUAGCGAACAAGUACAGUGAUGGAAAGAUGAAAAGAACUUUGAAAAGAGAGUGAAAAAGUACGUGAAAUUGUUGAAAGGGAAGGGCUUGAGAUCAGACUUGGUAUUUUGCGACCUUUUCCCUCGUGGAAGGGGCCCCCGCAGUUUACUGGGCCAGCAUCAGUUUGGAUGGCAAGAGAAUGGCAUUGGAAUGUAGCUCUACCUCGGUGGAGUGUUAUAGACUUUGCAGAUGUUGCCUAUCUAGACCGAGGACUGCGUCUUUUGACUAGGAUGCUGGCGUAAUGAUCUUAAGCCGCCCGUCUUGAAACACGGACCAAGGAGUCUAACGUCUAUGCGAGUGUUUGGGUGUAAAACCCGUACGCGUAAUGAAAGUGAACGUAGGUGAGAGCCCUUUGGGUGCAUCAUCGACCGAUCCUGAUGUCUUCGGAUGGA
RNAcentral lists this ribosomal RNA (647 nucleotides) under Chernovozyma aurita. Its description in RNAcentral is "eukaryotic LSU rRNA". It matches the Rfam family "Eukaryotic large subunit ribosomal RNA", at positions 121 to 788 of the family's 3401-position model. The record is from RNAcentral. Lineage: Eukaryota; Fungi; Ascomycota; Pichiomycetes; Serinales; Debaryomycetaceae.